Ictalurus punctatus (channel catfish) is the source of this 1005-nucleotide long non-coding RNA. NCBI's taxonomy places the organism in Eukaryota, Metazoa, Chordata, Actinopteri, Siluriformes, Ictaluridae. The record is from Ensembl.
GCUGUAUAAAAUUUGUUGCUGUUAUUAUUAAUAUUAUUAUUUUAUUUUAGCUGUGUGAAGGCUGUAUCAGCUGUGUGAAGGUUGUUUUGUUCUGAAUGAUCUGUGCAUAUGAACGUCUCUGACCCGAUCAUGUCCCUGUAUGCACCAAAACACUGCACUGAAUUUAAAUAGAGCAGAAACGCCGCAGUGACCUUGAAAGGGUUCUUUUUAACUGUGCUUUCGGUGACCUCGGGUUGUUUCGGUGACCUUGAAAGGAUUAUUUUCUUACUGUUUUCUUUAAUGUGGAUAUAUAUAUAUAUUGGCAUAUCUAACCCUAAACUUCAGUACUGUAGCUACAUUCAGUAGUUUAUAUCUACAUUCAGGAGUGAACUACAUACAGUAGUGUAUAGUUACAGUCGGAUUGUACCUGAGACUACAAUUUAUUUAUUUUUCUAAAGCAAAUAGACCAAAUAUUGACUAUGUUUCAUUAAUUAAUGUUUACUGCUCUUUGUAAUAUUGUUUUUAUGUAGAAACAUUUAAUUUCAUGAUUUUGAAGGCAUUUUUUGCUCAACAGCAUUUCUUUGAAUGUGCCUAAGACUUUUUCACAGUACUGUACUUGCGGUAGUUGCAUUCAGUAGUGUACGGCUGCAUUAAGCUGUGUGAAGGUGCAUUCAGUAGUGUACGGCUGCAUUAAGCUGUGUGAAGCUGCAUUCAGUAGUGUACGGCUGCAUUCAGUAGUGUACAGCAGCUUUCAGUAGUGUACAGCUGCAUUCAGUAGUGUACAGCAGCAUUCAGUGGUGUACAGCUGCAUUCAGUAGUGUACAGCUGCAUUCAGUAGUGUACAGCUGCUUUCAGUAGUGUACAGCUGCAUUCAGAAGUGUACAGCUGCAUUCAGAAGUGUACAGCAGCUUUCAGUAGUGUACAGCAGCAUUCAGUAGUGUACAGCAGCAUUCAGUAGUGUACAGCAGCUUUCAGUAGUGUACAGCUGCAUUCAGUAGUGUACAGCAGCUUUCAGUAGUGUACAGC